AACGAAUUGCACGGGACAUAGUUAUGUAAAGUGCCAUUCUUAUCACAUCAUAUAUCAAAAUGAUUUAUCACUAUUGAUGUUGACCUUGAUCCCGUGGUUGAGGUAGUGUCUGCAAGGUUUCUCUUGCAAAACUACUCGUCGGGCCCCUUUUCCGUACUGUACUCCUUGGCAGGAAGUCCCUCUGUGUAGUCCACACUCAAAGAGUGGGGAGUCAUGUCGUCCUCCUCCUUGAGGACAGAGCAUCUACGAAAAUUAUUUGGGAUUCUUUUGCACUGCAUGAGAGAUUUGUCUCUUCAUCCUGCUUAUUUAUUCAAUCAUUUAUGUAUAUUUUUAAAGUUCGCUCCUUAUCAGAAUUUCAGUAAGGUACGUGCUGAAAUCUUUACGGUCCAAACAAAAUGAUUUUAAGGAUUUGCUUCAAUGUGCAGUAGAGGGUGAGAAAGU
Molecule: long non-coding RNA, 441 nt
Filed under: Equus caballus (horse)
Lineage: Eukaryota; Metazoa; Chordata; Mammalia; Perissodactyla; Equidae
Description: lncRNA (ENSECAG00000050064.1)
Source: RNAcentral